Molecule: ribosomal RNA, 128 nt
Filed under: uncultured eukaryote
Lineage: Eukaryota
Description: partial small subunit ribosomal RNA
Rfam family: Eukaryotic small subunit ribosomal RNA
Source: RNAcentral
CCCUGCCUUUUGUACACACCGCCCGUCGCUACUACCGAUUGAAUGGCUCAGUGAGGCCUUCGGACUGGCCUGGGGAGGUUGGCAACGACCACCCCAAGCCGGAAAGUUCGUCAAACUCGGUCAUUUAG